RNAcentral lists this ribosomal RNA (460 nucleotides) under uncultured bacterium. RNAcentral describes it as "partial 16S ribosomal RNA". It matches the Rfam family "Bacterial small subunit ribosomal RNA", at positions 338 to 795 of the family's 1533-position model. The record is from RNAcentral.
CCUACGGGAGGCAGCAGUGAGGAAUAUUGGUCAAUGGACGAGAGUCUGAACCAGCCAAGUAGCGUGAAGGAUGACUGCCCUAUGGGUUGUAAACUUCUUUUAUAUGGGAAUAAAAUGUUCCACGUGUGGGAUUUUGUAUGUACCAUAUGAAUAAGGAUCGGCUAACUCCGUGCCAGCAGCCGCGGUAAUACGGAGGAUCCGAGCGUUAUCCGGAUUUAUUGGGUUUAAAGGGAGCGUAGGUGGAUUGUUAAGUCAGUUGUGAAAGUUUGCGGCUCAACCGUAAAAUUGCAGUUGAAACUGGCAGUCUUGAGUACAGUAGAGGUGGGCGGAAUUCGUGGUGUAGCGGUGAAAUGCUUAGAUAUCACGAAGAACUCCGAGUGCGAAGGCAGCUCACUGGACUGCAACUGACACUGAGGCUCGAAAGCGUGGGGAGCAAACAGGAUUAGAUACCCGAGUAGUC